AGUUUGUGAGACCCUAUCAUGAAAAAAACCUAUCACCAAAAAGGGCGAGUGGAAUGGUGCAAGCAGUAAGAGCGCCUGCCUAGCAAGUGUGAGGUCCUGAGUUCAAACUCCAGUGCCACCAAAAAACAAAAACAAAAACAAAAAACCAUCUACAGUCAUUCCAAACUUUGAGGACAGUAGAGGUCUAUGGGCUUAAGUGUCCAGCAUGCAUUCUCCUUUCUUACAUAAAUGAAAGCACUCUGAUUAUUCUCAGGAAAGGUUCUGGUGGGUAGGUCUGACUGUGCCAGAGAAUAGCAGUUGGUAUGGGAAUGGGCCCAAAUCUAGGUCACUCAGAGCUCUCCAGGUUUUUGAUGGAACUCUUAAGAAGUACAUUCUCAUUUCUUUUCCAGCUAGAUUGUGAAGCUUGUAGAAUGUAAGCCUCAUGCUGCUGGGGACCAUCUUGCCACCCCAAGGAAAGCACUACCUGAGAAUGAGGCCAAUACAGACGAAAGCUGAGCUGUGGGAUGGAGGACACUGGAGACCAGAUAAAAAUAUUGAGUACCUGAGUGGGGAUAAAGGAGAACGGGAAAGGAGGAGAACUCAACUGUGAUAUCUAUAGGUGGAAACUGCAAAGGAAAAAGGAUAACCUGAAAAUAGAAGAUGGGCUAUUAGAUGUGGAAGGGGACCACCAGGAGGGGAGAAAGAAGGUGAAAGCUCUGCAACUUUCCUUUGCCUGUACCAGACCCUAUGGAGCCAUCAGUUCUGCUGAACAUUGCCAUACCCAUCAGGUACCUCACACAUUUGAAGAAUCAUUGGCACACCUAUGGUCAAUUUUUUUUUCCUUUUGGUGGUACUGGAGUUUGAACUCAGGCCUCACACUUGUUAGGCAGGUGCUGUACUGCUUGAGCCACUCUGCCAGCCCUCA
Non-coding RNA from Castor canadensis (American beaver), 904 nucleotides. The record is from RefSeq and is a predicted model, not a curated record. NCBI's taxonomy places the organism in Eukaryota, Metazoa, Chordata, Mammalia, Rodentia, Castoridae.